Molecule: ribosomal RNA, 253 nt
Filed under: uncultured bacterium
Lineage: Bacteria
Description: partial 16S ribosomal RNA
Rfam family: Bacterial small subunit ribosomal RNA
Source: RNAcentral
GACGAACUGUCCUAACGUUGUCCGGAAUCACUGGGCGUAAAGGGCGCGUAGGCGGCUCAUGAAGGCUGUGGUGAAAGUCCGGGGCUCAACCUCGGAUCGGCCGUGGCGACUCGUGGGCUGGAGCACUGUAGAGGCGGGUGGAAUUCCGGGUGUAGCGGUGGAAUGCGUAGAGAUCCGGAAGAACACCAGUGGCGAAGGCGGCCCGCUGGGCAGUGGCUGACGCUGAGGCGCGACAGCGUGGGGAGCAAACAGG